Molecule: ribosomal RNA, 461 nt
Filed under: uncultured bacterium
Lineage: Bacteria
Description: bacterial SSU rRNA
Rfam family: Bacterial small subunit ribosomal RNA
Source: RNAcentral
CGGCAGGCUUACACAUGCAAGUCGAGGGGUAACAGGGAUUGCUUGCAAUCCGCUGACGACCGGCGCACGGGUGCGUAACGCGUAUGCAACCUACCUUCUACAGGGGAAUAGUCAAUAGAAAUGUUGAAUAAUACCCCAUACGAUCUUUGAAUAGCAUUAUUUAGAGAAGAAAGUUCCGGCGGUAGAAGAUGGGCAUGCGUCCUAUUAGUUAGUUGGAGAGGUAACGGCUCCCCAAGACAUCGAUAGGUAGGGGUCCUGAGAGGGAGACCCCCCACACUGGUACUGAGACACGGACCAGACUCCUACGGGAGGCAGCAGUGAGGAAUAUUGGACAAUGGAGGCAACUCUGAUCCAGCCAUGCCGCGUGCAGGAAGACUGCCCUAUGGGUUGUAAACUGCUUUUAUACAGGAAGAAACCUACUUACGUGUAAGUAGCUGACGGUACUGUAAGAAUAAGGAUCG